CCUACGGGGGGCUGCAGUGGGGAAUAUUGGACAAUGGGGGGAACCCUGAUCCAGCCAUGCCGCGUGUGUGAAGAAGGCCCUCGGGUUGUAAAGCACUUUCAGUGAGGAAGAACGCCUGGUGGUUAAUACCCAUCAGGAAAGACAUCACUCACAGAAGAAGCACCGGCUAACUCCGUGCCAGCAGCCGCGGUAAUACGGAGGGUGCGAGCGUUAAUCGGAAUUACUGGGCGUAAAGCGCGCGUAGGUGGCUUGAUAAGCCGGUUGUGAAAGCCCCGGGCUCAACCUGGGAACGGCAUCCAGAACUGUCAAGCUAGAGUGCAGGAGAGGAAGGUAGAAUUCCCGGUGUAGCGGUGAAAUGCGUAGAGAUCGGGAGGAAUACCAGUGGCGAAGGCGGCCUUCUGGACUGACACUGACACUGAGGUGCGAAAGCGUGGGUAGCAAACAGGAUUAGAUACCCGGGUAGUC
This 465-nucleotide ribosomal RNA is filed under the name Vreelandella stevensii. RNAcentral's name for it is "partial 16S ribosomal RNA". It matches the Rfam family "Bacterial small subunit ribosomal RNA", at positions 338 to 795 of the family's 1533-position model. Lineage: Bacteria; Pseudomonadati; Pseudomonadota; Gammaproteobacteria; Oceanospirillales; Halomonadaceae. The record is from RNAcentral.